This 370-nucleotide unclassified non-coding RNA is filed under the name fungal sp. RNAcentral describes it as "partial internal transcribed spacer region". The stretch from base 1 to 46 matches the Rfam family "Eukaryotic small subunit ribosomal RNA", at positions 1786 to 1831 of the family's 1831-position model. The record is from RNAcentral. Lineage: Eukaryota; Fungi.
AAGUCGUAACAAGGUUUCCGUAGGUGAACCUGCGGAAGGAUCAUUAAACGUAUCCACGUAUAUACCAACCGCGAACUUGUUUCUCAACCCCAUUAGUCUUAGAUAGAAAAACUGAUUGUCUGGCACUUAGGGUGUGGUGAGCGGAUUAGUCUAGUGUGACUAGUAGCGCUUGGCUGACGCAGUUGUCCUUACCUCCGUGUAAGGGUGUCUAGUUCUAUAUGGGCAACUACAUCCGAGUCUUAUUAACACUAAGACUUUACUUUUUUUUAUUAACCACAUGAAUUAACUUUGUAAUCAAAAGUUCAAGCGUAAAAACUUGAAUAUUUUAAUAAAUUAAGCACAACUCUUAGCAACGGAUAUCUAGGCUCUC